RNAcentral lists this ribosomal RNA (376 nucleotides) under uncultured bacterium. RNAcentral describes it as "bacterial SSU rRNA". It matches the Rfam family "Bacterial small subunit ribosomal RNA", at positions 521 to 896 of the family's 1533-position model. The record is from RNAcentral.
UAAGACGAACCGAGCGAACGUUGUUCGGAAUCACUGGGCUUAAAGGGCGCGUAGGCGGGUGCUCAAGUCUGUGGUGAAAUCCUCCAGCUUAACUGGAGAACUGCCAUGGAUACUGGGUGUCUCGAGGAACGUAGGGGUAUGCGGAACGAUUGGUGGAGCGGUGAAAUGCGUUGAUAUCAAUCGGAACUCCGGUGGCGAAGGCGGCAUACUGGACGUUAUCUGACGCUGAGGCGCGAAAGCCAGGGGAGCAAACGGGAUUAGAUACCCCGGUAGUCCUGGCCCUAAACGAUGGGUACUAGCUAGUAGGGUUCACAUGGCUUUACUGGCGAAGCAAAAGUGCUAAGUACCCCGCCUGGGGAGUAUGGUCGCAAGGCUG